AUUGAACGCUGGCGGCAUGCUUUACACAUGCAAGUCGAACGGCAGCGCGGGCUUCGGCCUGGCGGCGAGUGGCGAACGGGUGAGUAAUACAUCGGAACGUGCCCAGUAGUGGGGGAUAGCUCGGCGAAAGCCGGGUUAAUACCGCAUACGACCUGAGGGUGAAAGCGGGGGAUCUUCGGACCUCGCGCUAUUGGAGCGGCCGAUGGCAGAUUAGCUAGUUGGUGGGGUAAAGGCCUACCAAGGCGACGAUCCGUAGCUGGUCUGAGAGGACGACCAGCCACACUGGGACUGAGACACGGCCCAGACUCCUACGGGAGGCAGCAGUGGGGAAUUUUGGACAAUGGGCGAAAGCCUGAUCCAGCAAUGCCGCGUGUGUGAUGAAGGCCUUCGGGUUGUAAAGCACUUUUGGCGGGAACGAAAAGGACUGUGCUAAUACCACGGUUCGAUGACGGUACCCGCAGAAUAAGCACCGGCUAACUACGUG
This 484-nucleotide ribosomal RNA is filed under the name uncultured bacterium. RNAcentral describes it as "partial 16S ribosomal RNA". It matches the Rfam family "Bacterial small subunit ribosomal RNA", at positions 29 to 507 of the family's 1533-position model. The record is from RNAcentral.